This is a long non-coding RNA of Artibeus jamaicensis (Jamaican fruit-eating bat), 2547 nucleotides long. RefSeq lists it as uncharacterized. The record is from RefSeq and is a predicted model, not a curated record. Lineage: Eukaryota; Metazoa; Chordata; Mammalia; Chiroptera; Phyllostomidae. The transcript is spliced from 3 exons.
UGGCUGUCGUACCGCGCCAUCUCCCUGUCGUCCACGUACCCAACGCCCAUGUAGCGGUUCUCCUCGCGGCCCGGGCUGUACACGGUGGUGAGGCCGUUCCCUCCCGACCCCGCACUCACCAGCCCAGAUCUCGGUCAGGGCCAGGGCCCCGGAGAGCAGCAGGAGCAGAGCUCGGGGCCCCAUGACCCAAAUUUGAACGUCUGGGGAGAGGGAUCUUAUCUGAGAGAUGACCAGGGACAUCACUGAGGGGGACAUGCAGUAACUUCCGUGGUGGACAUAACUGAGAAUGCUCAUUGACUGGAGGUGAAGUCUGCCCAGCACGCUGAACUCACUGCUCUAACUCGGAAUUGUCCCCUGGACAAAGAUUCAGUCGCCAAUGUUCACCCAGAGUCGUGUGCGCCUGGUGCAGCUGGGACUGUGUGACUGUGGGAUGAUGGGGACGUGCGGAGGCCUCUUCACUUCCUCCAGGUGGCCCAUAAAGAGGAAGACAGAGCCACCAAAACUAAACGCGACAUGUAUCCCUGGUGGGAGCACUCAACAAGCAAAGAAAAGGAGGUGUUUUGAACCAAUGGGAAAAUCCGAACCAACGUGUAGACAGAGCGGUCGAGUCACACGGACGCUGGUUUUCUCAGUCGAAGGGCAGUGCGGAUGUCGUGUAACGGUGUGUGUGGGAAACCACACCACGGGGUGUGUCAGAUGCGCACACAGGGCGCUCUCAGGUGAAGCAGAACAUACCCAUAACGAGGACUAUUUUCAGACCAACUGUGGACAAAUCAAAUACAGCAAAGCGUCACCAGUUGUAGUACUUGGGUCAGGGGGAAUUUACGUAUAUUUGAAAUGAUUUCAAACCAAGAAUUUUAAAAGUAAAAAUCAUUUCCGGGCACUGCAUUGUUUAAUUUUUAACUUGCGGUUCCUUGGUGCUAAAUAGAUUUUUUGUUGUUGUUGGCCACAAUUUCCUGGCUUUUGAAAAUGAAAGUAGUUUGUACAAUUUUAUGAGAGAAACUGUAGGUGAAAUAAAGAUCAUUUUUAUGUGAAUAAACAUGGAAACACAUCACCUAGAGAGAACCUGCACUCAAAGAAAGCUAAGGAAAGCUCUUCAUAGUAUAUACAAAUAACACAUUUACAUGAAAUACACUAAUUUACAGAAUUGGCCAUCCUGGCGAUACAUGGGUAAUCUACACUUCUAUUCCAUUUCUUAUUUUCUGGAAGAGCUAACUAGCUCAUGACAGCAGAAAUUAUAUUUCUUGUGGGGAAUAACAGAAUAAAAAUACAUGAAGUCAGUUUCUCAAAGCAUCUGAGGAGGUAUACAAUAUUACACUAAGGUAGAAUUCUUUCAUAUUCUUUGAAAUGGUCAACAGUAGUUUUAACGACACUGUGCUAACUUGGAAAUGCAUUUUAAAUGGCUACAACACCCCCUGCAAUAGAUAUAAUUUAACACCAAUAACUUACAUAAAGUAUUAAAAAUAGCAGAUUGCCACAAAAGGAAAAAAUAAAGCACCAAGAGAAAACGAAGUCCCCACUUCUAUAUUUUAUUAACUGAACUAAAAAUUCUACUAGCAAAUCAAUAAAUGGCAGCUUUGAGGCAUUUUAAUAGUGCUUCAUCCAUUCAAUCAACAAACUUCAACUUCCGCCAAGAUGGAGGCAUAGGUGGAGACGCCGUGCUUUCUCACACAACCAAGUUUAGAGACAACAAAAUAUUAGCAGCAGAAAACACAGCCAAAACACAGAAAAUUGAACUUUUUGGAAGUCUGAUAACAGUGAAUUCUUCAGCCUGACCGGUAAGAGGGGCGAAGCCAGCAGGUGGCGGAUCAGGGUUGCGCAGGAAAACUCGGUCAAAUGGACUCAGGCACGUGGUUUCCAGGCGUGGGGUUGCAAAGGGCAGACCCAGGGAGCGACCCAGUGAGCCACAGGCAGGCCCAGCCAGUGCUCAGGGUGGAAGGUUGACUGUGGUCACACAUUCCUGCACAGAUAGACCAGCUAAGGAGUGAGCAGUGAGAUGGUCUGAGCAGGCCCCAGUGGCGGGAAGUGGCAGAGAGGACCGCUGUCCUCCCCACAUACCGAGACACAACCCAGCGACCUGGGCAGCCCCCCACCCUGGUGAACAUCUAAGGCUCUGCUCCUCACACCUAAUUGGGGCGAACAGACCAAAAAUGGCUCAAGAAGAUCUCAAAGCCCCAGACCCCAUAACUCUAAGUGACGAAGAAAUAGCAAAACUUUCAGAUGCACAGUUCAAAACACUGGAGAUCAGGAUGCUCACAGAACUGGUUGAUUCUGGUCACAAAUUAGAGGAACAUAUGAAGACUAAACUAAUUGAAAUGAAGGGAAUUGCACAGGAAACUAAUAGUGAUGAAAAGGAAACUGGGACUCAAAUCAAGAGAGUGAACCAGAAGGAAGAAAAAAAUGACCAAACAGAAAAGAAUGGAAAAACAAGAAUUCAAAAAAAUGAGGAGAGACUUAGGAACCUCCAGGACAUCUUUAAAUGCUCCGAUAUCCGAAUUAUAGGGGUACCAGAAGGGGGAAAGAAACAGCCACCAGUGGAAAACUUAU